CGACGCCGCGUGGAUGAUGAAGGCUUUCGGGUUGUAAAAUCCUUUACAAGGGGACGAGGAAGGACGGUACCCUUGGAACAAGUGUCGGCUAACUACGUGCCAGCAGCCGCGGUAAGACGUAGGACACAAGCGUUAUCCGGAUUUACUGGGCGUAAAGCGUCUGCAGGCGGACAGGUAAGUUGGGCGUGAAAGCUCCGGGCUCAACCCGGAGAGGUCGUUCAAUACUGCGUGUCUAGAGGGUGUCAGAGGGGAGUGGAAUUUCCGGAGUAGCGGUAAAAUGCGCAGAUAUCGGAAAGAACACCAAUGGCGAAGGCAGCUCCCUGGGGCAUACCUGACGCUAAGAGACGAAAGCUAGGGGAGCGAACAGGAUUAGAGACCCUGGUAGUCCUAGCCCUAAACGAUGGAUGCUGGAUGUGGGGCCAUAGCGCUCCGUGUCGAAGCGAACGCGUUAAGCAUCCCGCCUGGGGACUACGGCCGCAAGGUUAAAACUCAAACGAAUUGACGGGACCCCGCACAAGCAGCGGAGCGUGUGGUUUAAUUCGAUGCUACACGAAGAACCUUACCUGGGUUUGACAUCUAGGUGGUAGCGACGUGAAAGCGGAGCGACCCUUCGGGGAGCCUAGACAGGUGCUGCAUGGCUGUCGUCAGCUCGUGCCGUGAGGUGUCGGGUUAAGUCCCGUAACGAGCGCAACCCUUGCCCUCCGUUAUACGUGUCAGAGGGGACUGCCGGCGGUAAGCCGGAGGAAGGUGGGGAUGACGUCAAGUCAGCAUGGCCUUUAUAUCCAGGGCUACACACACGCUACAAUGGCCAGUACAAAGGGCAGCGAAGCCGCGAGGUGGAGCGAAUCCCAACAAAGCUGGU
RNAcentral lists this ribosomal RNA (862 nucleotides) under uncultured Chloroflexales bacterium. Its description in RNAcentral is "bacterial SSU rRNA". It matches the Rfam family "Bacterial small subunit ribosomal RNA", at positions 392 to 1286 of the family's 1533-position model. The record is from RNAcentral. Lineage: Bacteria; Bacillati; Chloroflexota; Chloroflexia; Chloroflexales.